RNAcentral lists this ribosomal RNA (427 nucleotides) under uncultured prokaryote. RNAcentral's name for it is "bacterial SSU rRNA". It matches the Rfam family "Bacterial small subunit ribosomal RNA", at positions 355 to 774 of the family's 1533-position model. The record is from RNAcentral.
UCGAGGAUCUUUUGCAAUGCCCGAAAGGGUGACAAUGCGACGCCGCGUGUGGGAUGAAGGCCUUCGGGUUGUAAACCACUGUCGACCUGGAUGAAGUUUCGUGGGUUAACAACCCAUGAAAUUGACGGUACAGGUGGAGGAAGCCACGACUAACUCUGUGCCAGCAGCCGCGGUGAUACAGAGGUGGCUAGCGUUGUUCGGAUUUACUGGGCGUAAAGGAUGCGUAGGUGGCUUUGUAUGUCAGAUGUGAAAUUUCAUUGCUCAACGAUGAAAGUGCAUUUGAAACUACUUGGCUUGAGUAUAGGAGGGGAGCAUGGAAUUCUUGGUGUAGCGGUGAAAUGCUUAGAUAUCACAAAGAACUCCAAUUGCGAAGGCAGCGUACCGGAGCGCAACUGACGCUGAAGCUCGAAAGUGCGGGUAUCGAACA